CACGUAAACAACCUGCCUUCAAGAUGGGGACAACAGACGGAAACGACUGCUAAUACCGAAUACGAUCCGAAAGUCGCAUGACAUUUGGAUGAAAAGGGUGGCCUAUCGAAGAAGCUAUCGCUUGAAGAGGGGUUUGCGUCCGAUUAGGUAGUUGGUGAGGUAACGGCCCACCAAGCCGACGAUCGGUAGCCGGUCUGAGAGGAUGAACGGCCACACUGGAACUGAGACACGGUCCAGACUCCUACGGGAGGCAGCAGUG
This 259-nucleotide ribosomal RNA is filed under the name uncultured Dialister sp. Its description in RNAcentral is "partial 16S ribosomal RNA". It matches the Rfam family "Bacterial small subunit ribosomal RNA", at positions 114 to 356 of the family's 1533-position model. Lineage: Bacteria; Bacillati; Bacillota; Negativicutes; Veillonellales; Veillonellaceae. The record is from RNAcentral.